UAGCAUAUCAAUAAGCGGAGGAAAAGAAACCAACAGGGAUUGCCCUAGUAACGGCGAGUGAAGCGGCAACAGCUCAAAUUUGAAAUCUGGCCCUCGGGUCCGAGUUGUAAUUUGUAGAGGAUGCUUUUGGUGAGGUACCUUCCGAGUUCCCUGGAACGGGACGCCAUAGAGGGUGAGAGCCCCGUCUGGUUGGAUACCGAUCCUCUGUAAAGCUCCUUCGACGAGUCGAGUAGUUUGGGAAUGCUGCUCUAAAUGGGAGGUAUAUGUCUUCUAAAGCUAAAUACCGGCCAGAGACCGAUAGCGCACAAGUAGAGUGAUCGAAAGAUGAAAAGCACUUUGAAAAGAGAGUUAAAAAGUACGUGAAAUUGUUGAAAGGGAAGCGCUUAUGACCAGACUUGGGCUUGGUUGAUCAUCCUGGGUUCUCCCUGGUGCACUCUUCCAGUUCAGGCCAGCAUCAGUUCGCUGCGGGGGAUAAAAGUUUUGGGAAUGUGGCUCCCUCGGGAGUGUUAUAGCCCAUUGCAUAAUACCCUGCUCCGGACUGAGGUUCGCGCAUCUGCAAGGAUGCUGGCGUAAUGGUCAUCAGCGACCCGUCUUGAAACACGGACCAAGGAGUCGUCUUCGUAUGCGAGUGUUCGGGUGUUAAACCCCUACGCGUAAUGAAAGUGAACGCAGGUGAGAGCUUCGGCGCAUCAUCGACCGAUCCUGAUGUUCUCGGAUGGAUUUGAGUAAGAGCAUACGGGGCCGGACCCGAAAGAAGGUGAACUAUGCCUGUAUAGGGUGAAGCCAGAGGAAACUCUGGUGGAGGCUCGCAGCGGUUCUGACGUGCAAAUCGAUCGUCAAAUAUGGGCAUGGGGGGCGAAAGACUAAUCGAACCUUCUAGUAGCUGGUUUCCGCGA
This 896-nucleotide ribosomal RNA is filed under the name Calonectria candelabrum. RNAcentral's name for it is "LSU rRNA". It matches the Rfam family "Eukaryotic large subunit ribosomal RNA", at positions 36 to 963 of the family's 3401-position model. Lineage: Eukaryota; Fungi; Ascomycota; Sordariomycetes; Hypocreales; Nectriaceae. The record is from RNAcentral.